CAAUAGCGUAUAUUAAAGUUGUUGCAGUUAAAAGGCUCGUAGUUGGAUUUCUGGGAGGGUGCCAAUGUCCGUCGUCGUACGUGUUGCAGCGGCGCCCUUCCAUCCUUCUGUUAACGACUUUGGGCAUUCAUUUGCCGGAGUCGGGCUCAGAUAUUUUACCUUGAGAAAAUUAGAGUGUUCAAAGCAGGCUAACGCCUUGAAUACAUUAGCAUGGAAUAAUAAGAUAGGACCUUGGUUCUAUUUUGUUGGUUUCUAGAGCUGAGGUAAUGAUUAAUAGGGAUAGUUGGGGGCAUUAGUAUUUAAUUGUCAGAGGUGGAAUUCUCGGAUUUGUUAAAGACUAACUUAUGCGAAAGCAUUUGCCAAGGAUGUUUUCAUUAAUCAAGAACGAAAGUUAGGGGAUCAAAGACGAUCAGAUACCGU
RNAcentral lists this ribosomal RNA (420 nucleotides) under uncultured eukaryote. RNAcentral describes it as "bacterial SSU rRNA". It matches the Rfam family "Eukaryotic small subunit ribosomal RNA", at positions 592 to 1018 of the family's 1831-position model. The record is from RNAcentral.